GUGGGUAGUUUGACUGGGGCGGUCUCCUCCUAAAGAGUAACGGAGGAGCACGAAGGUUGGCUAAUCCUGGUCGGACAUCAGGAGGUUAGUGCAAUGGCAUAAGCCAGCUUGACUGCGAGCGUGACGGCGCGAGCAGGUGCGAAAGCAGGUCAUAGUGAUCCGGUGGUUCUGAAUGGAAGGGCCAUCGCUCAACGGAUAAAAGGUACUCCGGGGAUAACAGGCUGAUACCGCCCAAGAGUUCAUAUCGACGGCGGUGUUUGGCACCUCGAUGUCGGCUCAUCACAUCCUGGGGCUGAAGUAGGUCCCAAGGGUAUGGCUGUUCGCCAUUUAAAGUGGUACGCGAGCUGGGUUUAGAACGUCGUGAGACAGUUCGGUCCCUAUCUGCCGUGGGCGCUGGAGAACUGAGGGGGGCUGCUCCUAGUACGAGAGGACCGGAGUGGACGCAUCACUGGUGUUCGGGUUGUCAUGCCAAUGGCACUGCCCGGUAGCUAAAUGCGGAAGAGAUAAGUGCUGAAAGCAUCUAAGCACGAAACUUGCCCCGAGAUGAGUUCUCCCUGAGACUUAGAGUCUCCUGAAGGAACGUUGAAGACGACGACGUUGAUAGGCCGGGUGUGUAAGCGCAGCGAUGCGUUGAGCUAACCGGUACUAAUGAACCGUGA
This 659-nucleotide ribosomal RNA is filed under the name Salmonella enterica subsp. enterica serovar Dublin. RNAcentral describes it as "partial 23S ribosomal RNA". It matches the Rfam family "Bacterial large subunit ribosomal RNA", at positions 2261 to 2914 of the family's 2925-position model. Lineage: Bacteria; Pseudomonadati; Pseudomonadota; Gammaproteobacteria; Enterobacterales; Enterobacteriaceae. The record is from RNAcentral. RNAcentral also lists the same sequence under 3 other names.